GUCACUAGCAAGGGGGAGGGCAGGAGUUAAACAAGUUGUGGCCGUGGCAUUCCCACAGAAGGCCCACCACCCGCUGGAAGGAAAGAGAUAGCAGACAAAAGGGUCUCGCUCUGUUGCCCAGUGGCCUGAUCAUGGCUCACUGCAGCCUCCAACUACUGGCCUCAAGUGAUCCUCUUGCCUUGGCCUCCUGAAGUCCUGGAAUUAUAGGCGUGAGCCACUGCACCGGGCCCAUUUAAUACUCUGAGCCCCACCUUUCCCAUCUGUGGAUGGAGCCCCAUGUGGAACCCAAGGACGCAGCUGCUCUGCUAACACGGCAGCCCAUCCUUCGAGACUGUGACCUCGCCACAGUGGCCCUCAGCCCUCCACCUCCGGCGGGGGCGAGGGCCACCCACCUCCAAGUCUCCAGCCAUGACGACCUCCGCACUCCGGCGCCAGGUGAAGAACAUCGUGCACAACUACUCCGAGGCAGAAAUCAAGUGGCCUUCACCGAGGUCAUGGGCAUGCUGUGGCGGCGGCUCAAUGACAGCGGCAAGAACUGGCGGCACGUGUACAAGGCUCUAACAUUGCUGGACU
This 573-nucleotide small RNA is filed under the name Pan troglodytes (chimpanzee). RNAcentral's name for it is "processed transcript". The record is from RNAcentral. Lineage: Eukaryota; Metazoa; Chordata; Mammalia; Primates; Hominidae.